ACAUGCAGUCGAGCGGGGGAAGGUAGCUUGCUACCGGACCUAGCGGCGGACGGGUGAGUAAUGCUUAGGAAUCUGCCUAUUAGUGGGGGACAACAUCUCGAAAGGGAUGCUAAUACCGCAUACGUCCUACGGGAGAAAGCAGGGGAUCUUCGGACCUUGCGCUAAUAGAUGAGCCUAAGUCGGAUUAGCUAGUUGGUGGGGUAAAGGCCUACCAAGGCGACGAUCUGUAGCGGGUCUGAGAGGAUGAUCCGCCACACUGGGACUGAGACACGGCCCAGACUCCUACGGGAGGCAGCAGUGGGGAAUAUUGGACAAUGGGGGGAACCCUGAUCCAGCCAUGCCGCGUGUGUGAAGAAGGCCUUAUGGUUGUAAAGCACUUUAAGCGAGGAGGAGGCUACUUUAGUUAAUACCUAGAGAUAGUGGACGUUACUCGCAGAAUAAGCACCGGCUAACUCUGUGCCAGCAGCCGCGGUAAUACAGAGGGUGCGAGCGUUAAUCGGAUUUACUGGGCGUAAAGCGUGCGUAGGCGGCUUAUUAAGUCGGAUGUGAAAUCCCCGAGCUUAACUUGGGAAUUGCAUUCGAUACUGGUGAGCUAGAGUAUGGGAGAGGAUGGUAGAAUUCCAGGUGUAGCGGUGAAAUGCGUAGAGAUCUGGAGGAAUACCGAUGGCGAARGCAGCCAUCUGGCCUAAUACUGACGCUGAGGUACGAAAGCAUGGGGAGCAAACAGGAUUAGAUACCCUGGUAGUCCAUGCCGUAAACGAUGUCUACUAGCCGUUGGGGCCUUUGAGGCUUUAGUGGCGCAGCUAACGCGAUAAGUAGACCGU
Molecule: ribosomal RNA, 824 nt
Filed under: Acinetobacter baumannii
Lineage: Bacteria; Pseudomonadati; Pseudomonadota; Gammaproteobacteria; Moraxellales; Moraxellaceae
Description: bacterial SSU rRNA
Rfam family: Bacterial small subunit ribosomal RNA
Source: RNAcentral